ACUGAGUUCCAGGAGGACCAUGAGGAGGGAGGGAAAGGGUUUCUAGGCAGAGGAAGAAGAGCAGAAGCCACUCAUCCUCCCUGCUCUCCUUGUGGGCCUGCCAUGCCACACACCAGGUGCUGGAUCAGGCUGGCAUGGGGUUGUUACAGCUACUGAAGCAGCCCCUGUCCUGUUGGAGCAUGUGCAUGGGGGGCAGUCCCAUGCUUAGUGAGGGCUGUGAUGGGGACAGGAGCCUGUGGGGCCUGAGUAGACAUGGGAUGGGGCAGGUGGACCUCUCCCCUGCCCUGCUCUGCCUCCUUCAUAGAAAACCCACUGGUUCCUGCCUCUCGGGAGCAGCUCUCACUGUUCUUGCUCCCUCUCUGCCCUGCACCUGGGCCUCGUGAGGUCCUGCCUGUGGUGUCCCACCUGCCCUUCCACACAUCUCACACAGGGCUUCACAUGAAUCCACCCAGACUCCGGUCUUCCUGGGAGACCACUCUGCCCGAGUCAUCUCCUGACCAGGGCCCAAUGCCCUCCGCUUGGCAGGUGGUGAAAUGAAGUGCACAGAAGAGCAAUCACUGGCCUCACGGUGCACAACCAAUCAGUGACAGAGCAGAACUGAAAACUGAAUCUAGUUAUUGGAGCGUGCUUACUGUCUUACAUGGAUGGGCCCUGGGGUCCAGGGACUUUGAGCCUCAGUUUCUUCCUCUGUAAACUGGGAACAUUGACCUGACUAUAAAAAUGACAAAUAUAGGUGAUUAUUAAAACAUCAGGAAACAAUAAAUGCUGGCGAGGCUGUGGAGAAAUAGGAACGCUUUCACGCUGUUGGUAGUAGUGUGAAUUAGUUCAACCCAUUGUGGAAGACAGUGUGGCAAUUCCUCAAGGAUCUAGAACCAGAAAUACCACUUGACCCAGCAAUCCCAUUACUGGGUAUAUACCCAAAGGAUUAUAAAUCAUUCCACUAUAAAGACACAUGCACACUUAUGUUUAUUGCAGCACUAUUUACAAUAGCAAAGACUUGGAACCAACCCAGAUGCCCAUCAAUGAUAGACUGGAUAAAGAAAAUGUGGCACAUAUACACUGUGGAAUACCAUGCAGCCAUAAAAAAGAAUGAGAUCGUGUCCUUUGCAGGGACAUGGAUGAAGCUGGAAGCCAUCAUUCUUAGCAAACUAACACAGGAACAGAAAACCAAACAUCGUAUGUUCUCACUCAUAAGUGGGAGUUGAACAAUAAGAAUACAUGGACACAGGGAGGGGAACAACACACACCGGGGCCUGUUGGGGGGCUGGGGGCAAGGGGAGGGAGAGCAUUAAGACAAAUACCUAAUGCAUGCGAAUCUUAAAACCUAGGUGACGGGUUGAUAGGUGCCACAAACCGCCAUGGCACAUGCGUACAUACCUGUGUAACCUGCACGUUCUGCACAUGUAUCCCGGAACUUAAAGUAAAAAAUAAAUAAAUAUUUUUAAAAUGGCAAA
This is a long non-coding RNA of Homo sapiens (human), 1454 nucleotides long. RefSeq lists it as uncharacterized. The transcript is spliced from 2 exons. NCBI's taxonomy places the organism in Eukaryota, Metazoa, Chordata, Mammalia, Primates, Hominidae. The record is from RefSeq and is a predicted model, not a curated record.